Molecule: ribosomal RNA, 253 nt
Filed under: uncultured bacterium
Lineage: Bacteria
Description: partial 16S ribosomal RNA
Rfam family: Bacterial small subunit ribosomal RNA
Source: RNAcentral
GGACGAACGCUGGCGGCGUGCUUAACACAUGCAAGUCGAGCGGUAAGGCUCCUUCGGGAGUACACGAGCGGCGAACGGGUGAGUAACACGUGAGCAAUCUGCCCUUCACGUUUGGGAUAACGUUACCGGAAACGGAAGCUAAUACCGAAUACGACCAUUGCAGACAUCUGUUGAUGGUGGAAAGUUCCGGCGGUGAAGGAUGAGCUCGCGGCCUAUCAGCUAGUUGGUGGGGAACAGCCCACCAAGGCGACGA